RNAcentral lists this transfer RNA (73 nucleotides) under Candidatus Woesearchaeota archaeon. RNAcentral's name for it is "tRNA-Gln". It matches the Rfam family "tRNA". Rfam says of the family: Transfer RNA (tRNA) molecules are approximately 80 nucleotides in length. Their secondary structure includes four short double-helical elements and three loops (D, anti-codon, and T loops). The record is from RNAcentral. Lineage: Archaea; Nanobdellati; Candidatus Woesearchaeota.
AGCCCCGUCGUCUAGUGGUCAAGGAUGGCGGCCUUUGGAGCCGUCGGCGGCAGUUCGAAUCUGCCCGGGGCUA